Molecule: long non-coding RNA, 36541 nt
Organism: Loxodonta africana (African savanna elephant)
Lineage: Eukaryota; Metazoa; Chordata; Mammalia; Proboscidea; Elephantidae
Exons: 4
Source: RefSeq, a predicted model, not a curated record
AAUUCAGGGUGCCAGCUCCAGGAGAAGGCUUUCUCUCUCUUUUGGCUCUGGAGGAAGGUCCUUCUCAUCAGUCUUCCCCUGGACUAGGAGCUUCUCCGCACAGGAACCCCAGGUCCGAAAGAUGCUCUCUGCUCCUGGCACUGCUUUCUUGGUGGUAUGAGGUCCCCAUCUCUCAGCUAGCUUCUCUCUUUUAUGUCUCAAAAGAGAAGUGCCUCAAGACGUGAUCCAACCUAGUAGAUUGAGUCCUGCCUCACUAACACAGCUGCUGCCUAUCCUACAUCAUUAACAUCAUAGAGAUAGGAUUUACAACACAUAGGAACAUCACAUCAGAUGACGAGAAGUGGUGGACAAUCACACAUGAUCUAGCCAAAUUGAUACGCAUAUUUUUAGAGGACACAAUUCAAUCUCUGACAACUGGGAAUCAUGACCUAGUCAAGUUGACAGAUAUUUCUGAGGGACACAAUUCAAUCCAUGACACCAGGAAACAUGCAAACCCCAAAAGGAGUUUUCUGGCUUACUCCAAGCAUGGGGAUAAGCAGGUGGCUGAGAACCCUUACAAUUUCUGGGGAAACAAUCUUUCCAAAGUUUCACAACCUAACUGAGUAAGAACCACAUUUGUGUGAAGGCAUCGAGAAAGUGGUUUUGUCAGGGUUGUUUUUCUAGGAGCCAAAAAAUAUUUGAAAGUGGCCUGUGUAAUUGUGAAUCAUGCAACUGUGGGCCCUGACUACCUAAGUGGUCCACACUCUAGCAGAGCAUAAGGUGUGACACAGUUUUAAACCCAGAGAUAUUCUCCUUAAAAAACUCCUCUGCUUCCCUAAUUUGGUACCUAUUUUGGGAAAGUAGACAGUCAAGGACAUUUUGGGCAUCAAAAGGGUUCUACUUUCCUCUCUCGUCUACUAAAAUGUAGUUUUUGUCAUCUUCUCGAAAAGGUCAUUUUAAGUUUCAGACAAAACCAAAAACAAACAAGAAAAAAAACACCAAAUAGAAGUCCUAUGGGAAUGGGAGCUUUGACAGAGAAUUGGUGGCAGCAGCGACCUGGACUUUGCCUGCAUCUAGAGAUGAGGGAGCCAUAGAGCAGUACGUCCCCCAGGCCCUUUUCCAACAGUGUUUAUACGCUUUCUCUGCAACAACCCACCAGCAGAUAUUCCAUUCUAAGCCCUUCACAGGACAGGGUUUAUUUGAUUUUUUUCCCCCAUCCCUAUGGGAAGAGUUCCUUCCCGAUUUUGAAGCUUAGCAACCGCGAAGAAAUGUGACCUCAAGGCCACAUAUAGAUUAAAUCUCGACAAGGUCACAUAUAGAUUAGAACCCAGUAAAACCUGAUGGCUUGCCGCAGCACGACUGUGUGGGAAACUCACAGUAUGACAACUGUGGCCUGAUAAUUCUACCACAGUGUCAAAGGAGGUCCCAAGGGAAAGUGAAUGGGGCUUAGCAGCAGCUAACAUCAAGAGGCUCAGAGUUGCAGCACUAAUUCCCCUGGGGUGGGAGCUUGAGCCGAGUGGGUGUCAAGUGGCUCUGGCAACUGUGUCCCUUUAAAUGUUCCCCUCAGGAUCAGGUUGAAAAGGGGGAAGCAGGGCAGGAGCAGCAUUAUGACUUUACACAGGGUGCUCCCCACGCAGCCACUAAUUGGCUUACUCUGUUCAGAUUUCAUUCAGGCAGCAGCUUUCCGUUUCUGUUCUGUUGUCUCUGAGGGGGUUUCCCAAAUUAACCUUCUCUAAGCUUUCUUGUGUUCUUGAGGGACUGUUUCUGAGGGCUGGCGGGGAAUUUCCCUCUUUUGACCAACUUGUUGUCUGAGUGAUGUAUGGCUGAUCUGCAUCUGGGGAUUUUCUCACUGGCAUUUUGCUACUUCCUGUUUCCCAAGAGUCUCUGCUUUUUGGGAACUGAAGAGUUAUUAAGACAAGGAGACAGACAGGCUUUAGGAAAAAGGGGAGGGGUUGUAUUUAAUACACUGGCGCUUGUCUUCCACUCCUCUCAUUCUUUGCGGCAGUGAUAUUGCAUUUGAAGAUUAGAUGCAGGGACUUUGAGAGGGGCUUUGGGUUGAUCACAGUAAACAUUCCACGGGAACUUGGAUUUCACAGUGUCUUAGUAGUGCUGCUAUAACAGAAAUACCACACAUAGAUGGCUUUAACAGAGAGAAAUUAAUUUUCUCACGGCAAAGUGGGCUAAAAGUCCAAAUUCAGGGCAUCAGCUCCAGGGGAAGGCUUUCUCUGUUGGCUCUGAAGGAAAGUCCUUGUCAUCAAUCUUCACCUGAACUAGGAGCUUCUCCGCACAGGAACCCCGGGUCCAAAGGACUCACUCUGCUCUCGGCACUGCUUUCUUGGUGGUAUGAGGCCCCCAACUCUCUGCUUGCUUCCCUUUCCUUUUAUCUCUUGUAAGAUAAAAGGUGGUGCAGGCCACACUGCAGGGAAACUCCCUUUACAUUGGAUCAGGGAUGUGACCUGAGCAAGGGUGUUACAUCCCACCCUAAUCCUCUUUAACCACAGGCAGAGAUUAUGAUUUAUAACACCUGGGAAAAUCACAAAAUGCAGGACCACCACACAAUACUGGGAAUCAUGGCCUAACCAAGCUGACACAUAUUUUUGAGGGACACAAUUCAACCCAUGACACCCAGCAUAACCACAAAUCACAUAAAUGGUUGGUUUAAUACAGUAUCUCCCCUGUAUGUGGGAUGGAUAGAAACUCCUGUGCUAAAAGAAACCAUUUUCUCCUUUUACUUAAUGAUGACACGUACGUGUCUGUGUGGUGCUAGGUGCUUUGCAUGCAGGUUCUCAUGUGAUCCUUGCAACAACCCAGAGAAGUAGGCCUUGUUAGGCCCUGUUUUACAGAUGAGCAAACUGAGGCUCUGAGAAGUUAGGUAACUUGGUGCAAGUCUGGCUGUUAUUGGGCAGAGCUCCAGUUCUGUGGGACCCUUUGCUCAUAUUCAUUCUGCUACAGAUUUGUAGCAAAUUUGGGAUUCAAUUCAUAGGACUUUUAGGCGCCUUCACCAGCAAAAUAAAAAGCAGCCUCUAAAGACUAGGGGUGAAAAUACUUCAGGAAGCGGAUUGGCAGUUCUUAGCUAGGUCAUGCUUGGCAAUUCUUUUUGUACACCUGUCAGGCCCUUUCGCUCUGUGUUCACAAUUUUAGCAACACCUGGCAGCAGCUGCUGACCUGGAAAUUGAUAGAAACCAAUAUAUCAAAGAAGCUUCAAUCAAACCAAUUAUUUAGUCUCUUAGCAAACCUUCCUAUCUAACCACUGCUCUCGCCUUCCUAUUCCCCACCCUAGCUUUAAACAUUUUAUCACAACUCUUAGUAGUGACCCCCCUGUGGGUAAGUCCUAGAAUCUUUCUGGGCCUGCUCUGUUGAGAUUUAUAUCCCAAGGAAAAUAAUGUUCCAGAAUUGCCCUACGUCCCCGGCUCUCAAUUAUUCUCGAGUCAGAUGUGUGUGUGUGUGUGUGUGUGUGUGUUCUUGUGGUGCGAGGUUCUCAGGGGGAUAGACUAUUAGCCACAGCUGACCUUUGCAAAGUUCUUCAAGUGUUUUCAGUUCCUCCAGAGAAGCCGUUAGCACAGGGUGACAGUGCUGGGACAGCCCCGGGACUGAUGAGAGAGUUGCUGGGUGUUCUCAAGGACAGGACCUGCAUCAGCUACGUGGCUGCCCCUGUGCCCACUGCACAUUCGCUGCAGCCCUUCUGUCCACCAUCCGUCUAGGAGGGGUCCUACGCAUUGUCUCCUCAUCCAGUAACUCUGAUGGCCACCAACUGUCGGCAGUUCACUAGUUGCCAAGUGAUUUUACCUGCAUUAACUCAUUGGAUCCUGUGAAGGAUCCAUCUCCAAGGUAGGAAGCAGAGGUGGUUGAGAAGGCAGUGUACCAAGCACUCAAUGGCCGCUUCAUGACACGAGAUAGAUACACAGCUGCCAUCAAGCCUGCUCCAACAAAGGAUGACCACACAUACAAAAGAACAAAACGUCUCCCAGUCCUGUGUCAUGUUCGUAAUCACUGGCAUGUUCAAAUCCAUUGUGGCAGCUAUUGUGCCAAUCCAUCUCACUGAGGGUCUCCCAUGCGCUUGUUGGACCUCUACUUCACUAAACAUGAUGUCCACCUCCAGCAACUGAUCCCUUCUGACGACAUGUCCAAAGCAAGCGAGUCAGAGAAUGCUCUGCUGUCAUCCAUAAGGUUUUCAUGGCUAAUUUUCAGAAGCAGAUUUCCAGGGUUUUCUUCCUAAUCUUUCUUAGUUGGGAAGCUCUGCUGCAACCUAUCCACCAUGGGUGACCCUGCUGGUAUUUGAAGUACCAGUGGCAUUGCUCCCAGCAUCACAGCAGCAUGCAAGCCAUCACUACAACAAAUUGACAGACCAGUGGUGGUCAUGGCAUAAAACUCUGACCAAAUGUCCCCAAAACAUCAGGAACAGAACCAAAAGGGAGAGUUCCACACUCUUCUCUGGUAAAGCCUUUCCUUAUUUAUGUGAGUCUCUGAGGUAACGUGGGGAUCCAAUAAUAGGGGAAGAGGAAGGAAAUGGAUCCCUCACUCCUCGUUUCCACACAUUUGAACUCCAUGCAAGGCAUUUUAGGCCCAGGGAAGAUAAAUUGUAAUAUGAAAACUCAUAGAGAAGUCAUCUUCUUUGGAAAGGCAGACAUUUGAGGCAUUCCCCUCGACCCUUUUAUUUUUUGUCAGGAAGCUUUCAAGAGACCCUACAAGGAAUCCGGCCGUUCAGCAUUUCUCAGCAGAACAACAUUAUCUGUCAUUGUUCUUGGUGUUCAAAGAUACUUCUGGAAAUGAUGUUACUAUUCCUGUGUAUGAGUCUGGCAGAGAGCCCUAAGAUGUGACCUAAUUUCCAAAUAGCUUGUCCUUCUGGCGAGCAGCUAUUUGUAAAACCUGCUGUAGUUUAUGACUCUACCCUAUAGACUUUGAGAAAAUAGUCCGAAGGGCAAAGGAGAUUGCCACCUGGAAUAGAUCAAGUGACUAGCUGACUUUUUUAGAACAAGAGCUCAUGCCCAUUAUCUGAAGAGAUGAUAUAGAAACCAGUGUACUCUCUUCUUUCUGAAAGAAGGGUCCUAAAAGCCUGGAAGUGGAAGAUCACUAGAUAGUUUGCAGUGAACUCAAGACGGGUACAUCUUGGUAUAUUUAUAAGUAUGCUGCCUGGGGAAAGAAUGUUUAUGUAUGGGCCUGUCUUAUCCCUUCUAUCCUAAGUGGAUCUUGAAAGUUAAAUUAUCGCGUUAUGCUUAUCAGGGAAGGCUGCUUCAUAGAAAAGGCAUUUUACUAAGCUCUUGAGACUGUUGCACACUGAUCAAAUGACAGAUGGCGUUCAGCUUUCACGAUGUAGGAGUGCUAAAAGAAUGUAGGGUCACUGUGAAGCCAUGGAAAAAUCAUAGAGUAAAAUAUGGUGCAAGUUGUUAUACGCUUGACAAAAGAAGAAGAGGUACUAGGAAAAUGAUUUCAGCCACCAAGAGAGGAAAGACAACUAAAAUAAAAACUGAUGACACUUGAAUUUAGCUGUGAGAUGUUGGGUAGGCCACAGUGCAGUGUCUCUAGGCCUUACUUCACAUCAGAUGAGAGGUUCUAGGUGAUCUUUAAGGUCCCACCUGGCUCUCUAUCUCUAACUCACUUACUGAGUGCUAACUUCUGGCUAAAAGCACCAUGAGGCUAAAUAUUUCACAUGUAUUAUCAGCUCAUCUCUAGGAGGCUUUUGUUUUGUUGUCAUCUCCACUUUAUAGAAGAAGAAACUGAGGUUCAGAGAGCUUAAGAAACCAGGCCAAGCUUAUACAGCUACUGGGAGGCAAAGCUGGGAUUCAACCCAGGCGAUCUGAGGCCGUAGCUAAUGUUUUUAAGCUUUACAGUGUAUUGUCUUUAUACUCUUAGGAAUUUUAUGGGUAAAGAAGGAAAGAAUAUCUUAUCUGUUCCUUCCUUAGAAAAUCAAUUGCAAGAGAGGAUUCUUCAAAAUAUUUGUUAUGUCCUCUCUUUUCUAAUUCUUGCCAUACUGGAGUUUGAUCCUGAAAAAGGUAGCUGUCUUAACUGGUGUCAUAAUUUAAUGUGAAAGAAUUUACGGCAAAGAUGAGCAGCACACACCUUUCUCCUACCUUGCUCAGCUCACUUAGCUGCAGGUACUGAUUACUUUUCCAGGUCUGGCCUGCCCAGCUGAGCGCCCUCUGACCAGGGAAGGCUGUUGAAAAGUAGCCACACAAGUGUUAGGUAGUGGCAUCCAGGGCUCAUGUUCCUGUCCUAAACCUGAGAUUCUGAGAGUCUGGGGAAGUACUGGUCUGCAGACUGCAGCUUCCUCCCUUCCUCUUCCAACACAUUUUCCCACGCCCACAUGCCUGGUAUUGGGCAUAUUUUCCUGGCUUGCACAUUGUCUUGCCUCCUGAGACUAGAGUUCUGUCUCAAAGACCAUCCUGCUGGGUAGGGUUAUCACACCUUCCCUAGCCCUUGGAAGGAGCCCUCAUGUCUCAACAGUUAAAUGCUUGGCUGCUAACCAAAAGGUCAGAGAUCAGAACCCACCAGCAGCUCAGUGGGAGAAAAGACCUGGCAAUCUGCUCCUGCAAAGAUUCCAAAAACCAAACAAACCAUCAAGUUGAUUUUGACUCAUAGCCACCCUGUGGGACAGAGCAGAACUGCCCCAUGAGGUUUCCAAGGCUGUACAUCUGUAUGGAAGCAGACUACCACAUCUUUCUCCCACAGAGCAGCUUGUGGGUUCAAACAGCCAACCUUUGAGUUAGCAGCCACACGCUUUAACUACUGCACCAUCAGGGCUCCUUUUAAAAUCCUGUAAAGAUUACAGCCUAGGAAACCCUAUGGGGCAGUUCUACUGAGACACAUGGGGUCACUAUGAGCCAGCAUUGACUUGAUGGCACCAACAACACCAACUUGCACUUGGAGGCAGUGUGGCAAAGGGCGGUGGUGGGGUGCCACUGUAACGAUUUUUGCGUAUCUGCAUCUCACCUGUGUAUACUCUUUCUUUAAAUGGACAUAUUUUUAAAAAUAAAAAUUAAUUUAAAAAAAGAAGACUUCAAAGAAGUUAUACAGUUUUAUGUUUAGGUUUCUGAUCCAUUUUUAAAUAGUUUUUGUAUAUGGUGAUUGCAUAUUGAUAUCCAAUCUUUCCAGCGCCAUUUAGUGAAAAGACUAUCCUUUCUCCGCUGAGCUGCGUUUGCAUCUUUAUCUCCUUCGUUGGAUGUUAGGUUGAGUUCUCUGUUCUCCUAGUUGUUAGCUGGGGAGCCAAAAUAUGGGCUACCACCCACCUGUCUUCAACUACUACUUCUAGGAGGUUCCUGCUGCCCAUCUAUUAGCUUAGAGACUAAGUUUGCUAUGUCUUUGGAUAUUUAGCAGUUUCGUGAUUUAUUCUCUUAUUGACCUCUCUUUGGCCACUUCUACUUAGUGAUACAACCUCCCCCUUUUUUGAGGGUUUACCAAGUGCCCAGCACUACCUCUGCCAACUCCCCCAUGUUUUCUCCUUUUCCAACCUACCCUUGAUGUCCCAAAGGUUUCAACUUACAAAAUGAAUUUUUUAGUGGGUGGGAUAAGGUAGUAGAAGAUUUGAAUUUCGUGUAGGAGAAAUGAGUGAUUAAACAUAAAACAGUGUCUCUAUCGACAUGUCCAGUUCAGGAUUCACUAUUGAAGGAUUCUUGUAAACAAUGAGUUAUUUCCCUCCUGUGAUUCCUGUUUUGGGGUAGGACCAAACCGUGUAUGUACUAUCCCAUAUAUGUACAUGCAAAGGCACAAAUACUGACUCAAAAAGACCCACAUACGCAGAUGUCUGGAAUUUUUUUUUUUGCUUGUAGCUGUGAGUUCUAUUCUAGUUUAUUUACAGACAUAUUUUUAUAAUUAUGCUAUUGGGGAAAAUUUCUAAAUUAUAGGCUCAUAGAGUUACAAAGGAUCCUAAGGGAUCAUCCGAGUCUGCUGUCAUCCCUAAUGAAUUGAUGGUGGCAGCUUGGAGUAUUGCAUUGAAAGAUAUUGCCAGGCUGAGUUCAAUACAGCAGGAAAAAGGGUGGUCAUUGAUUAGUCAUGCCUGCUGUGGGUGAGAGUGGUGCCAUGGACACGGUGUAUUACUGACUCUAAUCUAAGAUGAGGCUACUCUCUUUUCUAGGGCAAUAACCUCUUCUACACUGUCAUUGGCAGCUGGCUUCUAGCCGCUGCAGGAAUACUUUCAGUAAUCAUGAACACAUAUAUUGAGCCCAAAAUCUGUCUCAUUGCAACUUCCAAUUAUUUGUCCUAACUCUACCAAUGGGAAUUGCAUAGACCAUGUUUAUAUCCUAUUCCGCAUCACAGCCCUUCAAAUACCACAAGAUAGCUAUUAUGUAAUCUCUUCUCCUAAAUAAAUAUCACCAUCUCUUUCAACUGUUGUCCAGAUAUUGUGGUUUCUGGAUCUCACACCAUCUUGGAUUUUAUUUAACUUUUCCUUGCUCCCUUUCAAGUGCACUGCCCAAAAAGGGACAGCAAAUUUCAGAUAGGAUCUGACUAGCUAGAGUUUAAUGGAACUCUUUUCACGUUGGCUUAAAUGUACUUCUGUCAAUAAAUUUCAGUUUAUACCUAAACCAUGCCAUUUGGCUAUUUCAUAUUGAGCUUUCAAGGAAUAAAAAAUUCCCAAAUCUUAUUUUGUAUGAACUGCUUAAUUCAGUUCUUUUCUGAGUUCAUAUUUGAAUUUUAACUUUUAAAUUAUAUCUUCAUAAUAAUUGUCUAUCCUUUAGUGUCUGUGCUGGGUACUCUACUUGUGUUUUCUUUAAUUUCUAUAAAGUAGAUAUUCUAUUCCCAUUUUGAAGUCAUGAAAACUGAGACUCAGGGAUGCCUCCGGUCACACAGCUAGUAAUUUGCAGAGCCUGGAAUCAAAUCCAGUCCUGUCUGGCUCUACAGUACAGUCUCUGCCCGAUUUUUGUGGUUUUCAAUCAUCUUUCCACCCAAACCCAUCCAGUGCCAUCGAGUCGAUUCCAACUCAUAGCGACCCUAGGACAGAGUACACAUAAGAGAUAAUUUUGAAUCCUGAAUCCAUCGCAGAAGAAAAAAAUUUUAAAAAAGGUAGCAGAAGAUAGGUUGUCCUUUUGUCAAGAUAUAUUUGGUUUUUGGCAUUCUGAUGUAUUAGCGAAGCACUUCAUUUAAAUAAAUAAAUAAAAAGGAAAUAAACUUUGUCUUGUCCAGUGCCUAGUGAACGCUUUUUGGUUCCUAGUGCUCAUUUUAAGUGCUCACUAGCUGUCUGUUGAACUAUUCAAGCUAAGGCUUUGUUGCAGAUUGAUGUUAAGUUUAUCAGUCUCUAAUUUCCGGAAUCCGUGUGUACUACUGGGACAUUUGUUUGUGUCCUUUGUCUGGCACCUAUCCUACUUUCCACACCAUCUCCUGGGCUGCUCACUGUGGUUCUAGUCUUACAGAUGCAUGUUUGAUCCCCUCUUUGGGAUGGAAGUGGGGUGGGGAAGGGUUUGCCCUCAUUUAAAGUAGCUAAGUGCUUUUAUGGAAACCCUAGUGUUAUAGUGGUUAAGUGCUACAGCUGCUAAACAAAAGAUUGGCAGUUCAAACUCACCAGGCACUCCUUGGAAACUAUGGGGCAGUUCUGCCCUGUCCUGUAGGGUCGCUAUGAGUCGGAACUGACUCGAAGGCAACGGCAACGGGUUUGGCUUUUGUUAAGUGAUUUUACACUAUUCCCCCUCCUGUCUUAUGUCUUAUUCUUUGGUCUCCCCACCCCCAGCCCCCAGCACUGUUAUUUCUCCCCUUUCCAAUUGGUAGGUUAGAAACAGAGUCUCUCUCUUAAUGGAGAGAUUAAUGGAAUGGAUGUACUCCACGAAGUUUCCAGUAAUUUCUGUUCAGUGAAUUCUAAAGUGAACUCUCUGGCCCCAACAACAACAAAAGACAGCAAAUCCACUUCCUAAAACUCCCACCAUGCGUUAUGAAUCAAUUAAAUGCUUUUUUAGAUGACCUGUGCUGGGAAAUCUCGCUAUUAAAAAAGAUAAUAAUAGUCAAAUAUGAGUUUUAGUAUGUACAGUUAACCGCCAACUAAAUCAUAGACUGUAUACAUUUUAAAAGUUUUUUUGUUUUGUUUUGUAGUUUCUAGCCUAUGGCAUACACUGACACAGACACAAAAGUCAUAAAUUAGACAGGUAGAACGUAGAACGUGCACAAAUUAAAAAACUUGCACACGACUAUUCGUGAGAAGAAUGAGUCCUCACGCGGAUGUAUAACUGGGUAAUAGUUAUGAAGUACUUAAUACCCGGCUACAAGCCUACUCUCAGUUGUUUCCAUGCUUCCAAGUGCUAGAAAGAGAGCCUGGCUGUGAAGCACCAGUAAUUGCACGUUGUUUGUGAGGAGGGACAUCGAAAGCCUGGAUAAAUUACACAAAGCAGCGAGCUCCCUUUAUAAACUUGACCUCGCCUAGCUUAGCAACGACGCUCUUCGGUUUGCAAGCUCUGACAAAGCCUGACUCCCUCCUUCCUUCUUAUCCCCUAUCAGGAAACCCAUUCGGCCCCUUUAAUUCUUUUCAAAUCCCCGGCGCGAGCUCCAGGCAACUCAUGAAUAUUCAGCAGGGGGCGUGGCCCGCCUGCGUGCGCGGCUCCGGGCAGCUGGGACCGGCUGAAAGGGCGCGCCAGCUGCACGCCGGGGAAACAGUUCUCAUUUUGUGGGCUCCGCUGACAAGCUGUCCAGCCUCGAGGCGGCCCGAGACCGCCACAUUGUGCGUGUGUGGGAGGGGCUUUGCCAAGACGGAUGGAUUUUUCUGAGGCAAAGCCUCGGAGCUGUAAUUUGAAAAAAGAGGGGCCCCAAAUCUCCCUGCCACCCACCUGCCAGGGCAUGUGAAAUUCCAUUGAUAAAUUCACGCAUUAUGCUCUCCAGGAGUUUGUCCCUUUUUAAGAAAACAAGUGUCCCUUGUGUGAAUAAUUAGAGGCUUUUUAUCUUUUGGUGACACCUCCUCCCUUGCAAUUCUCUCCGGUGGAGACUGUUUCUCCUACAUUCUCUGGCUGCUCACAAGUGCUUCUCACGUUUGUUUUAUAACAUCAGGCGGUUUUGUCUCUAUCUCCCAUCUGCCCCGCCCCCAGUGAGCCUGGAGUGGGAGCUGGGAUGCAGCUGAGGCGGGAGCGCCAGGGGGGAAGCAUGGGACCGAAGCUGUUUGGGGAAGGAUCAGGCAGUGUCCAGAGGAAGUGAACUUAGCACCACAGCAAACUUUUUUGCUUGUUUGCUUUUAGUUGUGAGUCUCAGGUGCUAAUAUGAACACCACUGAUUCUUAAAGCAAUAGGAACCUUAGACCGGUCCUGGGAGCAGAAGGUGGACCUUUACUUGGGAUGACUUAGUUUGAGAUGUUUGAGCUCUAGCGUUCUCAACUGACCACAUCUUUUUGGCUUUGCGGUCAUCCAUCCCAUCUUUAAACUCCAACUAAAUUCGUGAACUAUCCUCAUGAUGGCAGUCAGGCUUUUGACCCCACUCAGUCCUUCUAGACAGUUAUGUUGGUUUUGGCUUUACUUACAUGUCUGUCUUUCCUGGCGCUGUCUACCUACCCUCUCCUCACCACUCCAUUGCCAAUCUUCUUUCAGUUUCCUAAACGUGUUGUGAUGGAGAGAAUGCUGUGUGCUCACCACCUCAUUUUGUCUCCUGGGCAAACGAGAAGACAUUUCCCAGUCCCUUUUGCAGUUAGUUUGGAACAAUGACCAAGCUUCUGACAAUAAAGAAGUGAGCAGAAGAGCUAUGCACUUCCAGUUCAAGGAAGAUAAGAGGGGAUCUGAGUUCUUCAUAGUCAUUCUGUUUUGUCCAUAUGCCAGGCAGUGCAGGACUCUAAGACAGAGAGCUGCAAGAUGGAAGCAAACUGGAUCUUGAGCUUCUGUUGCAGGCAACCUGCUCACUGACAUCAAAAAAGUUUUUUAGUGAGAGCAAUUCACUGAGAUUAAAGGGUGUAGUGGGUUGAAUUUUGUCCCCCCAAAAGAUAUGUUCAAGUCCUAACCCUCGGUAUCUGGGAAUGGGACCUUGUUUGGAAAAAGGGUCUUAGUAGAUGUAGUUAAGGUAAGGCUCUCUAAAUGAGAUCAUCUUGGAUUAGGUUGGGACCUAAAUCCAAUGGUGGGUGAGCACCCAUAGAGACACAGAAGGGAAGACCAUGCGAAGACAGAGCCUGGGACUGGAGUUAUGCAACUACAAGAGAAGAAAUGCCAAGGGUUGCCAGCAGUCACCAGAAGAAGCUAGGAGAGAGGCAUAGAACAGAUUUUCCCUCAGAGCUUCCAGAAAGAACCAGUCCUACUGAUACCUUAAUUUUGGACUUCUGGGCUCCAGAAUGUGAGAGAAUAAAUUUUUAUUGUUUUGAGCCACCAAGUUUGUGGUAAUUUGUCAUGACAGCCCUAGGAAACUAAUUGUUGUUAGUUGCUGUCAAGUACACUGAAAAGUUGCUUGGACCUGUGCCACCUUUGUGAUCAUUCAUGUGUUUGAGUACAUUGUUACAGCUAUUGUGUAGUUUUUUCCAACUUAGGGGGCUUAUCUUCUAGCACUAUAUUGGGUAAUAUAUUCUGUCAUGAUCCAUAAGGUUUUUAUUGGCUAAUAUUUGAAAGUAGAUUGCCAGGCCUUUCUUCCUAGUCUGUCUUAGUCUGGAGUCUCCACUGAAACCUGUUCACCAUGGGUGACACUGCUGGUAUUUGAAAUACUGGUGGCAUAGCCUCUAGCACUGUAACAGGCAAGCCACAAUGAUAUGACAAAUUGACAAAUGGGUGGUAGAGGAAACUAAUACUUGGAGUUUAUUUGUUACCUUGGCAUAGCCUGUCCUAUCCUGAUUAAUAAUACACAUGUCAUGUUCUUUCUCAUCUUGAUGCCCCUACUGUUACAUUUUGCCACUUGGAUCUCCUCCUUGCUACUAUCCUCGGAUUCUCCACUGUGCUCAGAUUUCUGGCCUAAGUGAUUGGUUGAAUCUUGGUCCCGGUAAGAAAAAUGAGAAAGGAGGAAGAGGAAUACAUAUUGCAGAAAAGAGGAGCUUUGUACUGGGCACACUGAGUUUGAGAAUGGGACAUCAAGGCAGAGAUGUCCAGAAGGCAUUUGGAUAUAUGAGUCUGAAGCUCAGGAGAGAGGCUUGAGCUAGAGGUAGAGGGUUGGGAGUCAUGAGCAUGUAGGCAAAAGUGGACAAGAUCACCCAGGGAAAGUAAAUAAAUAAGGAGAAGGCGGAAAGUGGAAAGAUGGAACUUAGUGGCAUACCAACAUUUAAAGGAAGGCAAAGGAAGCAGUGCCCAUACAUAUAAACUUCACUUACUUCAUAGGGUUCCCCUUGGCCAUUCGGGAUCGAUCAUGAAAUCUGCGAACCCAGGACUAGUUUGUGGAUCAACAUUUACAAAUGUAAAUUUUAAUUUUGAAGAAAACAGAGUGCUGUGCAAUUGCUGCUGCUGCGUAGACAUGGACAUGUCUUUGAAGCAACUGGUGUUGCCAUGCAAAUCUCUUGGUUGCUAUGAGAUGGUGGCGUUCCUCUGCCCUGCUAUUGGCCGGUGCCUCCUCUGCUGUGGGCUUCUCACUCUGGCGACUGACACCGAGCUGUUACUAUGGUGAACUCUACAAUUUCCUUUGAUUGGCGGAUUUCAGAAAUAGGUCAUCAGUGGAAUUCAUUAUAUUCAGGACUAGAACUGCCGGCUGGCCUACGACACAGCCCCCCACUUUGUCCCAAGAGUGAUGGAGGCUUCAUGCUAUCAUUUGUGUCUCAUUUGUAUUCCAUUCAUGUAUCUCUGGGGAGAGGGCCCUUUGAGAUUUCUUCUGGCUCUGCUUCAAACUCCAUAAUAGCAAUGGAUCCAUGCUUCUUAAUACAGCAAGGGCAGGUGGCAGCAAGCCAAAGUGGCCUCUGCAAAAUGCACGUGCAGGAGUGACUCUUUCAGCAUGCAUUAAAAAUCAGGAGCCAGCCAGGACAAAAGCACAGACUGACAGUGUGCCCCCAAAAGGGUGCCUGCACCAAGGUUUUGUUUUAAAAAAAAAAAAAAAGCAUUUUCUUUUCUGUUGAAUUGAGUUAAUGUUCUGUGCUAGCUUUUGUUCCUAGGGGCACGUGUGUGUGUGUGUGUGGAUAUUUACGUAAAUGGGCACACAGCUAGUUGCUCACACAGCUGCUGGCUGAAAAAAUCACACGGCAAGUUAUAGAAAUGAAACCUGGAGUAUUAAGAGGGAAGCUGAGACAGGGUCCCUAAAGGUUAUCAAGAACAAAUGAAGUGGCCCGGGCUUUGUUAAUAGCUUGUCUCAUCUCAUGAUUUAAAAAUAUAUUUGUGUCAAUAAAGACAUAUCCAAGAGAGUUCAUGAAGUGCCUAUCUGGAUGGUUUGGUUUUGUAAUAUGGAUUUACUUCAAACCCAAGGUGUUACUAAGAAGUGCUAAUAGUGAUUUAGAGCCCCGGUGGGGCAGUGGUUAAGUGCUACGACUGUCAACCAAAAAGUCAGCCGUUGGAAUCCACCAGCUGCUCUUUGGAAAGCCUAUGGGGCAGUUCUACUCUGUCCUAUAGGGUUUCUGUGAGUUGGAAUCAACUCAACGACAAUAGGUUAAUACUGAUUUGAAUGUGGGAUAAAAAACAAAAAAUACCAGUUGCUGUUUAGUUGAUUCUGACUCAUGGCAACCCCAUGUGUGCGAAGUAGAACUGUGCUCCAUAGGGUGUUCAAGGCCAUGAACUUCUGCAAGCAGAUCACCAAGCUUUUCUUCCAAGACACCUCUGGGUGGGUUCUAACUGCCAACCUUUUGGUUAGUAAUCAAGUGCUUAACUUUUUGCACCACCCAGGGACUCUGUGGAUGUGGAAUAGGGUCCAUUAUUCUAGGGUGUGGGAUCACAACAUUAGUACCACAUAAAGCCAUACUCUAUUUUAUAAGCCAUUGUCUCUCAUUAUACGUAAUAGGUAAUUUCCCAGGAAUCUGUGUAUAAAUUAAAUAUUUUUAAAUAAAAUCAUGUUUCGAUUGCUCUAAAAGAAUUAACAUUUUUGCAGCAAAACACUCCUUUUUGAAACAUAAAAGGCAGAGCUGUAAGUUAGGAACGAGAGAGUGCUUGGCCUGGUCAUUUUUCCACUGAGGGCUCAGUUUUCUCAGCUACAAGAUGGGCGGAUGAGUGCAAUCAAAGAACUCCAAGAUCCCUUUCUGACUUUGUCGUUCUAGGUUCUAAGAAUUGCCUCGUAACUUGAAUAAUCACCUCAUAAUGUGUCCAUCAUCUUUUUAAAUCCGAGGGCUUUACGCUCAGCUGCCUUAAGAGGGAUUUACUAGAACUGGUACUAACAGGUUGUCUGAAUUUAUUAUUUAUUCCAUUACUCUUUUGGGAUGAAGUGGAAUGAUUUAUAAGUGAUGAGGUUAUAAAAGCACACAUGGACAGACAGGAAGACAAGGACAGGAAGAGAGGUAGUGAGACAUGUCAGCAUUUCCCCAGACAGCUCGAUCCUGGAAAGCAAGAGUGGAGUCCCCUUCAUUCACUCACAGCUCACAUACACUGGCCUGGGAGCAUUGUACACCAGCCAUGAGGUAAAGCCAUGAGCCUUUCCUGGGACCCAGCAGGCCACACUCACAAGAAGCUGUCCAGCAGGUAUCUAUGCAGGAGAGUCUGUGAACUGUGUGAAUUACAGGAAGUGAAUCCACAGGGUCAGCACUAUAUUGGACAACAUUCUGUUGUGAUCCGUAGAGUUUUCAUUGGCUAAUAUUUGGAAGCAGAUCACCAGGCCUUUCUUCCUUGUCUGCCUUAGUCUGGAAGUGCCACUGAAACCUGCCCACCAUGGGUGACCAUGCUAGUAUUUGAAGUACCAGUGGCAUAGCUUCCAGCAUCACAGCAACAUGCAAGCCACCACAGUACGACAAACUGACAGAUGGGUGGUAGACUCGUCUAUACAUAAUAUCAAAAAGUUUUCUUUUUAAUUUUUGUAUAACCAUUUUUUAAAAUGAUCACUCUCUUAUAAAUUGUUUUAGCAAACUUUUAUAUUAGAAAACACAGAUCUGCCAUAUUUUUACCUAUGUAGUUUUGGCUAAAUUGAUGUAGGUAAAUACCACAAAAGAGUGGGAUAUAAUCCUGAAAAACACUAUAAAAUGUCAAACUUCUCUGGACACCUCAUUAUCUAUCAAAAGUUGGAAGGCUAGGGAUCAAGAGCCACCAUGUGAUAUUCUUAUGUGAACAAAACAAUAACUAACCCCCAAACUCUGUGACAAAAUCAUCAAAACCCAGAUCUGAAUAUGGGAAAAGUAGAGCUGUAAAGAGAAGGGUGUAGAAAAGAUGGUAGGAAGUUGUUGAAGGCAAACCUACUUGUUCAAUAAUAUUUAUACAGACACAAAUAGUAGUAACCACCUGAGGAAGACUAGAAACUAUUUCAGUGCCACUUUAGGGUCGCUAUGCGUCAGAAUUUUUUUUUUUUUUUUUUUUUAUGCGUCAGAAUCGACUUGAUAGCAACGGGUUUCAUUUGGUUUGGUGCACUGCUGUGAGUCCACACUAGAAAAUAUAAAUGAUACUCAGGUCAUCUUGUAAACUGAAUGCAUUUAGUGUAAACUGAACUGUCAUGGAUUGAAUUGUGUCCCCCCAAAAUAUGUGUCAACUUGGUUAGGCCAUGACUCCCAAUAUUGAUUGUGUGGUUGUCCUCCAUUUUGUGAUUGUAAUUUUAUGGUAAAGAGAAUUAGGGUGGGAUUGUAACACCAUUACCCAGGUCACAUCCAUGAUCCAAUGCAAAAGGGAGUUUCUAUGGGGUGCGGCCUACACCAUCUUUUACCUCUCAAGAGAUAAAAAGGAAAGGGAAGGGAGCAGAGAAGGAGGACCUCAUACCAUGAAGAAAGCACCGCUGGGAGCAGAGCAUGUCCUUUAGACCUGAGGUCCCUGAGCCAAAAAGCUCCUAUUCCAGGGGAAGAUUGAUGAGAAGACCAACAGAGAGAAGCCUUCCUCUGGAGCUGAUGCCCUGAAGCUGGACUUUUAGCCUACUUUACUGUAAAGAAAUCAAUUUCUCUUUGUUAAAACCACCCACUUGUGGUAUUUCUGUUAUAGCAGCACUAGAUGACCAAGACAUGAACCCUUUUGGCUGAGGGUCCAUUUCUACACCUGCCUUAUAGUCUUGUUCUCAAGCUAUUAGGACAUGGCCCAUGAAGGAGUGGCUGGGAUGCAGAUGGGAUUAGUAUGCUCUGAGCUAACUCUCCUCCUGUCUUUCUGUAGAUGCAUCCUGAGUUGACUUUCUUUCCCUGUCUCUCAGCACUAGUUAGAGCUGUGUUUUGCUCUUGGAUCCAUUCUUCCUCCUUCAAAUCCUAAGAAAGCACAACUCAAAAAGGGAUUGUGAGCUCUUGCUGCUAUUGACCUCUGAGCAGAAAAGGUGACCUAAUAUAAUUAAUGAGCUCAGUUGGACUUUGCCCGUGGCCUAGAGGAUGUUGUGGGUUCCCAGAACAUUUAGAGGAGGAAUGGCAAGAGACCCAGCAUGCUUGGAUGGCUGUUUGACCUCCUGGAAAUAUCUAGGCUUGGCGGAGGUACCCUAUCCCAGCAGGAUCGCCUGUCAUGGAGUGUCAGAGACAUGCUGAAGGGGACGGCCACCCAUCCACUCACAAAGAGUAACUCCACCUCUCUGCUAGGUGCAUGUCUCCUCUGAUUCAAGGACAACCUUGCUUAAUGUGGCAAAACCUGAGUUAGCAGGGUAAAUGGGCUUAAAUGGGAUGCAGCGAGGGGCUUAGCCAAGAUGGAGAUGGCAUGGACCAUGACCAGCCCAGCACUCCAGCGUGGAAAGACUGCCAUUUUUAUCCAAGUCAUACUGAGUUUAGAUUGUAACUAUUAUACUCUUGGUAAACUGUGUACUGUUCACGUCACUGUACAAAUUCAGUUCUUCUCAACAAGCUUUUCUUUCUUUUGAGAAGCAUCCUUGGUGAAGGGAGGUCUCUGAGCUGGAAGGCGGAGGCCCUGGACAGAUGUACUGGCUGUGUCUGGACAGUAGUGCCUUGUCUGGCUGAAUCCAGGGCUCAGCUUGCCAAGUUAUGCCACGGCCCAGGGCUGAGUCAGCAGGGGGAAGGAGCACCUUUGUGUAAUUGGUUUACCUUUUUUCAAGUUUGCACAAAGCUCCUUAAGUGCUAGAGGUAUGUAGCCACCAUCUGACUGAGGAGGAGCCAGGAGCCAUAUGCAGUGGCCUCUUGGUCCUCAACAUGGGUAGCUUAUGGGCACACCUGAACACAGCCUAUUCUCGUUAUGUUGCCACUAGCCACUUGUCUUAGGCUGAGUUCUCUAGAGCAGUAAAACUAGUGAAGUGUAUAUAUAUAUAUAUAUAUCCAAACCAAACCAAACCCAGUGCUGUCGAGUCGAUUCCGACUCAUAGCGACCCUAUGGGACAGGGUAGAACUGCCCCAUAGAGUUUCCAAGGAGCACAUGGCAGAUUCGAAAUGCUGACCCUUUAGUUAGCAGCUGUAGCACUUAACCACUAUGCCACCAGGGUUUCCAUAUAUAUAUAUAUACACAUGUGUAUAUAUAUGUACAUAUAGAGAGAGAGAGAGAUUUAUUUCAAGGAAAUGGCUCAUGCAUUUGUGUAGGCUCGCAAGUUCCAAAUUCAUGGGUCAGAAGUCAAGCUGGAGGCCUCUGACUCACAUGGCUGCAGGCACUGACAAACUCAAAAUCUGCAGGUCAGAGAGCAAGCUGCUAGCUCAGGUCCCAAGAACUGAAGGUCAGAGGAUGACGAGUUGGAUGCAGGAUCCAGAGAGAGCAAGCUUUGCCAGAACACCUAUAUAUACUAUAUGCAAGGCCACACCCCUAAGGAAACUCCCCUUUUAACUGAUUGGCUGCUCACAUCAGAUCACAAAAUAGAGGGUGAUUACAAAAUAUCUGCCAAACCAUUGAGUAUCAUGGCCUAGCCUAGUUGACACAUAACCUUAACCAUCACACCACUCUUGCACCUGAACGUUCAGUAACAAAACCUUGGCCUUCAAGAAUCGGUGUGAAUAACUGUGCUGGUUUAAUUGCUCUUAAUGAUGUGCGACGCUCCCUCCAACAUAGUCUCGGGGGAUGAACCCUCUACCAAGAGAAGACUCAGAAGACCUGAAUUUAAACCUGACUCUGUCCCUAAAAGCUGUUUGAUCUAGUUUGAUUAACUUUCCAGAUCCUUAGUUUCUUUACCUGUAAAAUGGGGGAUUAUCCUGAGGAUUAAAUGAGAGAAUGUUCUGGAGAACAUUUCGUGACUUGUAAUAUCCUGAACAAAGGUUAGGAGUGAUCAUUAUUCUCCAUGAACGCUUGGCCUCUGAUUCACCUCUGCAUGAGAAACCAGAUGUUCUUGUUCCCAUUUUGUGCAGCAGUUACUUCAAAGUCUCGGUAAGUCGGCUUCAUGCUGCUGGUGCAACACGCUGGAGGGAGGCCGCACUGUGAGCUUGCUUCUGCUUUUUUUCUUUUCUGGUGAGGGGGUAGUGAACUUUCUUAGAGAUAAAUAACACUGCUCAUGGGAAUUUCAGAAAGAAAACCUUCUGGAUACCAUAAAAAAACUUAGCUUUGUGAAGUUGAAUACCCAUGAAAAGUAAAAAGGCAAAAAGAGUGGGGGACAACGCAAGUCAGGAAUCUGAAUCUCCUUAAAUGGAUUUCAAGAUAUUUUUGUUUGCUUAUAAAUGAUAAGAAUGGACAUCUGAGUCAGACUGAGACAAAGCACAAUCUCCUGGACCGUGUGCUUCCAACUUCAGACUGCCACCUUAGCACUACGGAACUCCUUCAGACCAACCUCUCUUUCGAGUCUUUCUCCACACCAUAAUAACCCUCUCAACUAUUAAAGUCCUUAACAGGUGGACCCACAACUGUGUUUACAGGUAGGUGGGAUAGGGAGUAAUUGAACUUAAGAAAUUUCCCCACCCCAAAAUAUCUCCCUAAGUAUCCCGUUGUUAAUGACUGAAAUCCUGUUAAAUGAAAACCCACUGCUAUUCAGUCGAUUCUGACUUAGAGUGACCUUAUUAAAAAAAAAAACAAACCAAACCCACUGCUCUAUAGGACAGAGUACAACUGCCACAUAGGGUUUCCAGGGCUGUAAUCUUCAUGGAAGCAGGCUGCCACAUCAUUCCCUUGUGGAGCGGCUGGUGGGGUUGAACUGCCGACCUUUCCAUUAGCAGCCAAACACUUUAACCGCUGUACCACCAGGUCCCCUUAAAAUUCUGUUACUAGCCACUAAUUCCUUUAGAUUAAGAUAUUAUUCCUCUAUUAAAUCUCAAGUAAUCCCUGGAGGAGUAACAUAUUAAACUAUUAGUUUGUCUUUUAUACCUUAGCGUGAAAGACUUAAUUCAGAGGUUAGCAAACUUAUUCUGUAAAGACUCAGAGAGUAAAUACUGAGCAGGCAAUAUGAUCACUAAUAUCACACACAAGUAAAAUUUUGCUGAAGAUCAUUCAAAAGUGGUUGCAGCAGUACAGCAACAGCAAUUUGCCAGAAGUUGAAGCUGGAUCCAGACGAGGAGUUGGAAUGAGGGAUAUCAUUGCUGUUGUCAGAUGGAGCUUGGCUGACGGCAGAGAAUACCAUAAAGAUGUUAACCUGUGUUUUAUUAACUAUGCAAAGGCAUUCGACUGUGUGGAUCAUAACAAAUUAUAAAUAACAUUGUAAAGAAUAGGAAUUCCAGAACACUCAACUGUGCUCAUGAGGAACCUGUGCACAGACCACGAGGCAAUUGUUCGAACAGAACAAGGGGCUACUGCACGGUUUAAAAUCAGGAAAGGUGUGUAUCGGGCUUGUAUUCUUUCACUAUGCUUAUUCAAUCUGUACACUGACCAAAUAAUCCAAGAAGAUGGAUUAUAUGAAGAACUCGACAUCAGGAUUGGUGGAACACUCAUUAAACAACCUGCGUUAUGCAGAUGUCGCAACCUUGCUUGCUGAAAGUGAAGAAGACUUGAAGCACUUACUGAUGAACAUCAAAGACCACAGCCUUCAGUAUGCAUUACACCUCAACAUAAAGAAAACAAAAUCCUCACAAUUGGACCAAUAAGCAACAUUAUGAUAAACAAAGAAAAGAUUGAAAUUGUCAAAUAUUUCAUUUUACUUGGAUCCACAAUCAAUGCCCAUGGAAGUAUCAGUGAGGAAAUUAAACGACAUAUUGAACUGGGCAAAUCCACUGCAAAAGACUUCUUUAAAGGGUUAAAAAGCAAAGAUGUCACUUUGAGGACUAAGGUGUGCCUGACCCAAGCCAUGGAAUUUCCAAUCGCCUCAUAUGCAUGUGAAAGCUGGACAAUGAAUAAGGAAGACCGAAGAAGAACUGAUGGCUUUGAAUUAUGGUGCUGGUGAAGAGUAUUGAAUAUACCACCGACUGCCAAAAGAACAAAAUCUGUUUUGGAAGACGUACAGCCAGAGUGCCACUUGGAAGUGAGGAUGGCGAGACUUGUCUCACAUACUUUGGGCAUAUUAUCAGAGGGAUCAGUCCUUAAAGAAGGACAUCAUGCUUGGUAAAGUGGAGGGUCAGUGAAAAAGAGGAAGACCCUCAAUGAGAUGAAUUGGCACAGUUGGCUGCAACAAUGGCCUCAAGCAUAACAACGGUUGUGAGGAUGGCAUAGGACCAAGCAGUGUUUCAUUCUAUUGUACACAGGGUCGCUGAGUCAGAACCGACUCAACAGCACCUAACAACAACAACAGCAGCUUCCUAAACUAUAAGAAAAUGAAUUAUGUUCUCUAAAACCACCCACUUGUGGUAUUUCUGUUGUAGCAACACUGAGAACCUAAGAGAGACUUUGUUCCAGGAGCAGGGCUGGAUUUGAGCUUUGACAUUACUCUCUCUCUUGCCCAGUCCUUCCUGUGACAGGCAGUGCAACGUGGAAGAUAGCAAAUUUGGAAUUAGGAACGGAGCCUGCAGCCAUGGUCUAGUCAAGCUGGAGUCGUAAUGACAGCUCUGAGAAGGCUAAAACUGACCACUAGGAUGGGGAGGGGAAGGGCACUGGGGUCGUUGAAUUGGUGCCUUCAUUCUACUCUGAGGCAUGCUGGCUUCUCUCCAUAUUUGGGAAGAGGCCAAUGCCUUGGAGACAGUGUAAUUAUCUUUUAUACAUUCAUAGGGAAGUUUAUUUUUGGUAAAGACACUCCAACUGGAAUAUACUUGAUUGGUUUACAUUGGAAAAUGAUUUGGGCUUCAUCAUCCAAAUUACAUUAAAAAUGCUGAAAUGCCUUCCAGUUAUUAUCUAAGUCUAGCCGACUUCUUACUGAAUCAGGGAUGUGUAGUAACAUCCAGAUUCCUGGCUCUGCAUGUAUAUUGUGCCCCUAAAUAUGUAUUAAUAAGAGAAGAACUUUCCUUUUGAAAGGGACUAUAGGGUCGCCAUGAGUCAGAAUUGGCUCGACAGCAAUGGGUUUUUGGUAUUAGCAUUCAGUAGGAGGUUUAUACACGGACCCCUUUCCUCUUUGUGCAGAACGUCAUGAGAGAUCUGAACACAGAGAUGACAGAAGAACCGCACCAUUUGUGCUGUGCACAGCCAGACUUGGAGGAAGGGGAGGCGCUGCCCCCAAUUUAGAGCCCCAGGAGAGUGGCCCUGGAGGAAAUACCCCCUCUCCACUUCCCUAGGAGAAAGCAGUGUCCAGUAGGCCCCACCUGCUGGCCUGGAUCUGAGGCUGGCUCUGCCUGGAAACCUUGUUCAAUCAAAGCAGGGACUAUGGUGGUGGUGGCUGGAUCAGCCACCUCGACAUCACCUGAGAGCUUGUUAGAAAUGCAGACUCUUAGGUUUCAAACCAGAAUCUGCUUUUUUAGCAAGAUCCCAAGUGAUUUAUAUGUGUAAUAAAGUUUGAAAAGCACGCUUUUGUUAGCGAUCUGAGGCCUACUGGUCUUUCAAUGCUCACCAUUUAAAUACUAGGCCCUGAUCCACCUUUCCACCUAUUCUGAAUCAGAUAUCCCAGAAUAACACUGCUCUACCUCCCAACGGUAACAUCUCCAUCCUGCUCCCCACAAUUGGAGGCCCUUGAUAUCCCCACCUGUCAAAAGUUCCCCUAUUUGGGCAUGGCUUUCUAGUCUCAGCCCCUCCCCAGGAGUUCUUUGUUCCUGCCAGCUGUCUUCCCUCUGCGCACCCGCUUUGGGUUCCAUAUGCCAAGCAUGGGAAGGGAGUGACUGGAACUUCCUCUUCCACGUAGACUUGGACAAAUUCAAACACUGAUGAGCUCAGUUCAGAGAGGAAGUAGGACUAGCUGAGAGAUUCAGGGAACAGAGGGUCAGUUUCUGGGUGACCCACUUUCCAAGUGACCUGAAGUCAACACAUCACCUCUAUCUAAGCCCCCAUUGUUGAUGGGAAAGCUACCUUUGAACACCUUCUGUGAAACCCAUUAAACCAACUUGGAAUCUUAAAAGUUCUCUAUACAUUUGCUUCUGAGGCCAAUUUAACCAGGAAUACAUGGCCAGCAAAGAGUUUCAGUGUUGAUUUUACUAAAAGUCUAAUAGCCCCUUUUGUUUUUGUUAAGCAUGGAAGCCAUUAACCUAUCAUUAUAGGAUAUCCCCAUGCCAUGGAGUCGAAUUGUUAAUUGAAUGGUAUGCCUUUAAUAGAUUAGUCAGUAAUUAUAAAAGCUAUUUUCAAAACCCCAAAUUUGAUCAUUCCAAAAGAAGGAGGAUUUCUCACCACAAAAACCAGCUUUAGGCUUGGACAGCAAUUACUCACAAUUCCUUUCCUGGCAUUAUGACUAUAGGGGUAGACAGUGGAUUGGUUCCAAAAAUAAUCUCAAGCUUUUUCCUCUUAAAGUAUGUCCAUUUCUAGGCUUAUCUCUCCUGUCUCCAGAAGGGGAGAAUGUAGAGCACAAGCUGCACAGUUGCCUCCAGCCUGCAAUUUGCCGAAGGCCAUUUCCUUGACAGGUCUGAAUUACCACAUGGUUAAUUUCACUGCUCUGGAAUCCAGAUGGACUAAAUGGAUGUCAAUAGUUAUGCAGAUUUACUUGAGCAAAGUAAAGGAGUUACACAAAUAAGCCGAUUUACACAUGUUGGAAUACCCCAGGGCCCUGGCGGGGAAGUGGUUAAGUGUUCAGUUGCUAAAAAAAAAAAGGUCAGCAGUUGGAAUCUACCAGUCACUCCUCGGAGGCCCUAUGGGGCGGUCCUACCCUGUCCUGUGGGGCUGUCCUGAGUUGGCGUUGCCUUCGACAGCAGUGGGUUUGGCUUUUGGUUUUUUGGAAACACUCCACGAUACUGUAGUGUACAAUCCUGUUGUUGUUAGUUGUCGUGGAGUCAGUUCUGACUCAUGCAGGCCUCGUGAACAACAGAGCCAAACACGGCCUGAUCCUGCACCAUCUCUGUGGUGGUCGGCACGCUCACGUUCACUGUCGUAGCCUCUCUGUAUUUUGAGCACCUUCCAACCUGCGGAGUUCAUCUUCCAGCACAGUAUUGGACAAUAUUCUGUUGUAAUCCACAAGGCUGGCAGUUGGAAUCCACCACCUGUUCCUUGGAAACUCUAUAGGGCAGUUCUGCUCUGUCCUAUAGGGUUGCUAUGAGUCGGAAUUGACUCAAGGGCAACGGGUUUGGGUUUGUUUGUUUUUUUUUUCUGCAUCAAGAAUGAUGAGGCAAGAUAUAAACAUGAAACUUUAACUCUUGUUAAUUUUUCAAGCUAUUCCCAUCUUCCUAAGGAUUGAUUAGGGAAGAAACUACCAUUUUUGAUUUUCCAUUCUGUGCCCAAUAUCCUCAGAAUCAGAAAGGUAUUUCUUUAAAGUAUAACUUUUUAUAGUACAAUAAAAAAUUUAACACCAAUUUGAGUUGCUAAUUUGUCACAAGGAAAUACAUAAUUAAUUACCAAAUUAAUUGUAACCCCAUGACUGCUGCAGAGGCCUGUAAGUUCAUUUCACCCGAAUUCAGGGAGGAAGUAGGAUCAGCUGGGAUUGAGAAGGUGGUAGGAAACUUGGCCGCUGAGUGGGUCUUAAAGGGUACAUAGUGGGAGUCCUAGUUUGAACCUAAACUGUUUCUGACAGUAGGACUUGGAUAUUUCUGAGCACGUCUGAUAAGCCAGGGAGGAAGCAGUUCUUGGAUGUCCACUGCAUGAGUAAGUUUUCAAGGGUGCCUCUUUGGGGGACAAGGUACUGGAAGGGCAACAUGGGGUCUGGUGAGUCCCUCCCUCCCCUCAGACAACAGAUUCCUGUCUGAGGCUUUGGAAAGAAGGCAGAUGCCAAAGGAGCUGCUUUCAGGAGGAAUCUGAGUCACAGGGCUAUGAGUAAAAAUGAGUAAUGUCCCCUGAAGUCCAGGGAGUGAAGGCUGACCCAGAGGGAGAAGAAGAGCACCUUCUCCUCUUCUGCAUAGAACAGUGUAGCAUCUGUUCCUGAACACUCCAGUGGCCACAGUGCUGGGACCUUGAGGGCUACAGCCUUGGGGGCAUCAGGACAAAGGACAUUGUGGUAUUUAUGGUGGGCAUGGGCAGGAGUGGUGGCCUUGGUUAGAAGCAUAAGCAUGGGCGGAGCAAGGAUGGCUAGAGCUAGAGAGAAAGAGCAUGGCACGUACCAUGUGUUUGUGGCAUGUUUGUGAGUGCAUGUGAGACAUUCUCUGGGGUGAAAUUUCUGGGUGUUACUUUGAGGGAUCCUAGAGGCCGAGCACCACUCAGGCAGGACCAGGUGUGAUAUUGUUAUUGUUGUUAGCUGCUGUUGACUUGGCCCCGGACUUAUGGAGACCCCAUGCACAAUGGAAGUAACGCGGUUGCCAUGUAGGGAGCUGCUAUUGCUGUGAUCCACAGGCCGAGGAGGCCAGAGAAACAAGUUACAGAGUUCAAAUGGAGAUAUUUGAAGAGAAGUGUUGGCCACACACUGUGGUGAAAGGAUGUGAGCAAAAGGCUGGCCGCAGGAACGAGCACAUCAUAUUCUAGGGACAGUUUGGCUGAAAAGGAAAGGUCUUGUAGGGGGUGAUGGGAAACAAAGGUGCAGAGAAAGAGGGUGGCCUGAAGAGGAAGGCCCUGAACGUCUGGCGAAGGGGGUUGCCAUGGGAGGCUGAUCAGAAAGAGGGUGAGGCUACAAUAGCAGGGUCUGGGAGGAUUCACCUGGCCAGGGGGUUCAGCAGAAGUUCUCAAACUUGCUUUUAGUAGUAGAAACAUUUUUGGAAAUGAAAUCUAAUGAGGCUGCUUUCUAGAUCUGUGGUAAAUGAGACCAGAGUGGUAGAAAGAGAGAAAGAUGCAGAAAAAGAUGCAGCCCAGUGUACAGGGUGAUGCCCCAGGGGUGAGUUCUCAGUGGUGGAGUAACUGGUGAUUGGAAGUUUUUUCUUCCAACCUGUAAUUCCUAAUUUUCUAUAAUAAACAUUUACUAAGUUUGUAAUUAAAAAAAAAAAUCAAAGCUAUUUUUAAAACUAAAACAAUUCAUUCCUUUGUUUUAGAAUGAGUUCCUAGCCUACCUCCUCAGAAAAAAAACUUUUCUUGUUACUUUGGAUCUCACAGACUUCCUUCUACCACAUCUUGCCUGCUCUCUGAUGAUUGUGGAAUUGUGGAUAGAUUCACAAAACCACCUGUUAAUGUAUGUUAAUGUCGUCUGUGCAAUUAGUUUAUAAACUUGGCAAGGUCAGCUUGUCUUAAUCUGUGUAUCCUUCCCGUGUAUCAGUAGGUGCUCAAUUAAUGCUUAUUACCUGAGGAAAAGUUCUGUUGUGGAACUAAGAGAGUAAUCAUUAAAGUCCUGUUUGGGGCGUGGUCUAAAGCUUUGGGAAUUUUUGCAUCUAUCUUUAAUGUCGAGUUGUUUCUGAGUCAAUGACUGGAUUCUUUCCGCUGUCUGCAGUGCCAUGAGUAUUGUUACAGUUUUGGUCCUAGCCAAAAGAGACCACACCUCAAGAGAUUCAUCCAUUUACUCAGGAGAGCUUAAUCUUUAACUGUCUGGGUUAGGAGAGGUCACAGAAAAGAGUGUUGCAGGCUGACUGCUAAUAUAGUUCAGGCUUGAGGAAAUGCCAGGAUUAUGGGUAACAUGUACCAAGCGUUACUCCCGGCUUCUAGCCUGACAGAUGUGCGUCUGGUCAUAGGUAUUUUCAAGUCACACCACUGCCUGCCCACACAAAGCUGUUUUGCUCUUUCACUCUUUUUCCUCUCCCUCUCUCUCUCACACAUACAAACACACACACAACCCUCAAUGUUGUGGUUUCUCUUUCAAUAAGCCUUUGGUUUUAUAAAUCUGCAUGUUUCAUUGGGGGGCAGUGGUGGUUCAGCGGGCUGAAAUGAAUUCCCACCUUCCAUGUGGGAGACCUGGGUUUGAUUCCGGCCAAUUCACCUCAGGUGCAGCCACCACCCAUCUGUCAGUGGAGGCUUGCAUGUUGCUGUGAUGCUGAACAGGUUUCAGAGGAGCUUCCAGGCUAAGACAGACUAGAAAGAAAGGCCUGGUGACCUACUUCUGAAAAUCAGCCAGUGAAAAAACCCUAUGGAUCACAGCAGUUGGACCGACCAAUCAUGGGGAUGGUGCAGCAUGUCAUUCUGUUGUACACAGGGUCACCAGGAGUCGAGAGCUAAAUCAACAGCAGCUGCAACAUGUUUUGUUAAAUUCUAGUCCAUUUUGGAUCAUUGAACUCUGAGAGGUUUUUCUCUAUCUCUAGUUCUUGGGUCUUCUGAUAUGUGCCUAAGGAGAAACAAUCAACAAACAGAAACAAAGGAACAAAUGGCAAAAUCAAGGCCCUGAGGCCUUCACGUUGAAGUCAUUUAUUAUGUAACAACAACAACAAAAAAAGAGUCCUAAGCAACUGGAGAAGAGGAAGGCAUAUUGUUGACUUAAUCUCUUAAAUAUUAAUAACAGUUUGAAGGCAGGUGUGAUGACAAAUUAGGGAGUAAUAGCGCUAACUCUUCAUAUGAAUAUCUGACCUAUUACCACCACUGGGUUUAAUGUGACUCAUCCAGUCUCGGUCACGGUCAUCACGUUGCCCGUAUUGUGCAAUCUAGAUCAGUUUUGCAAUGGCUGAAGACAACAAAGGACUAAAACCAAGGAGUUCCAGUACAGAGAAAGGAAAUGAGGCUUCCUGCCUGCUGAAGCCACUCACCCAAAGAAAAACAGGAUUAAAUGGAAUGAAAGGUGUUUCUCUCAGAUUGGCCCCAAGCUUCUUCUGUUUCCUUAUAGCCUUAGGCUGCUGGGUCUAGCCUUUAGGAUGCUAUGACCCAGAGUGUCUAAAGGGAAUUAGCUGUAUCCUCCCAUAAGCUGCUACCAAACCAGGGACAGAGGACACUCAUCUACUUGGAUGUACAGGAUCAUCUAAUCAUGAGCUCAGUAGUUUGCCUAUUGUCCACCUCUGGAAGCCAGCCAAGGCUAACCAACCUGAGAUGUCAACCUGAGGACUCUGAGGGACAGUCCAGGUGAGCUCUGAGGCUCACCUCAGUUCCCUCAGUGGAAAUUGGCCUUAUGGGUGGGCCCUAGACAAAUUCUGAAUACUGGGGUUAUCUCUAGAACCACUGUUGGCCCUCCCUUCUGUGAACCAAUGAGUUGAGACUGGGCUCUGAGAUGUUCUCGCUUUCCUUCUCUUGGGUCUCCUCACUGUUGUCUCUUCAUUCCUGCUGCUAAAACCUAGCCCAGGGGUUAUUAUCUUGCAUUUGAACCAGAACAGAAAGCAGUUUCUAUCUCAUGGGCCAAUUCAAAUUAAUUGGUAGUGGCUUGGAGCACUAUGUUGAGAUGGAUUUUGAGUUUAGUAGGAAAGAGGGUGGCUGUCCAUUAAUAGUGAUUGCCAUGGGCACCGGAGGGAAAUUGUGGCAUUUGCAAAUACAGUCUGUGUAUUUGCUCAUUUUGAUCUGAUCCAUUACAUUAGUCAGCUAAGUGGCGUACCUACUUCUACUUUCUUCCAGAAAAAUAAGAUUAAUCUUCCAGAACCAUCAUUUAACAAUGGCCUUAUGGAAAAAAAAACUUUAAGCCCACUCCACUUUAGUCACAGGCCUGUUCCACGUGUGUGUGUGUGUGUGUGUGUGUAGAUUUGACGUGUUGAACACUAAUGAUCAAAGACCAGAUGAGUUGUAGGAAGAUAUCAAGGACAUCAUACAUGAAGAAAGCAAGAGAUCAUUAAAAAGACAGGAAAGAAAGAAAAGUCCAAAAUGGAUGUCAGAAGAGACUCUAAAACUUGUUCUUGAAUGUAGCCUCACUAAAGCAAAUGGAAGAAAUGAUGAAGUAAAAGAGCUGAACAGAAGAUUUCAAAGGGCAGCUUGAGAAGACAAAGUAAAGUAUUAUAAUGAAAUGUGCAAAGACCUGGAGUUAGAAAACCAACAGGAAAGAACACAUUCAGCAUUUCCUAAGCUGAAAGAACUGAAGAAAAAAUUCAAGCGUUGGGUUGCAUUUUUUAAGGAUUCUCUGGGGAUAGGCAAAAUACUUAAUGAUGCAAGAAGCAUCAAAAGCAGAUGGAGGGGUGGGUAGGGUCAAGAUAACAGAGUAGUCAGAUGCUUCCUGUGGUCCCUCUUACAACAAAGACCUGAAAAAAAACAAACGAAUCAAUUACUAGCUAGGAGUCCUGAACAUCAAAGGCAAAGUUGAGGAAUCAGGCUGAGUGGCAGGGAGAGGGAGAAACGGUUCAGAAGCAGUGAGGAGUUGGCAAAACUGACCUAGUGGGAAUUGGCCGCAAGCACAGCAAGGCAGGCAGAGGCAUUUGGGAUGCAUUUUCCACAUUGGGAGAGGCUGAACGGCAGAGAGUCUGCUCAACCCUCCAGAAUAAGGGGGAAGCAGCCCUCAACUGGCAAACUAUAAGUACCUACGUUUAACCUAUCGCAAUCCAAAAAUACCCCUUUGGGAAAAACCUCCCUCCCGCUUAUCUGCUCCCUUCUUGAUCUGCACUGGGUCCCAGCUGGCUGCAUCCCCUGGGCCAGAAGAAGAACCUUGCACUUGCCCUGAGCCAUUCUCCAGGCCUUGGAAAGGGAACAAAUUAACAAACAGGGAAAAAAUAAUCGGCCAGCUCCCCUAAGCUGGGAACUCAGGGCAGAAAUGGCUCCUUUGCCCAGGCACAGGCAUAAGGGGUCCAUGGACUUUGAAUGCCUUUCACCCCUGCAUAGACCUGUGUGGGCCCAUUUCAACAGUGUAGGCCCUCAUUCACACAGUACAACAGGGUAUACACCUGAAGUCUAACUUCAACAGUUUCAGCUACAUGGUGGAGAGGUAGGUUCAUGACAUUUAACACCCCUUUGCCUAUUAAGCAGGGUCCUUACCUACUCACCUCAGGGGCCUGAGGACUGGUGGCUCCACCCACACCACCUAGCCAUUGCAACAGGGGUCAAGAAUAAGUGGUGCCUCUCAGUCCUUACAACCAACAGCAUUGGGUGUCCAUAGUCUGGCUGCAAAACCCAUCCACCUAUGCACUCUAGGGAACAGGGACAUGCUUUCUUCACAGAUGCUCAGGGGCGGUUGUCAGCCCCCUGCCUUGCUCAGCACGUGACCCCCUACUGCAGCCAGAUACCUGUGCCUACACCAAUCACCCCUGCUCAUCUAUGACUGUAGGUGAGAGCCUGCACCACACACUUGGUGACUGACUAUCUGGACACCUGAGCUGAAUCUAUACAAGAAAAGUGAAUGGACUUCUAGGCUCACAUACCUAGUAACAGCUCUGUCCACUUGGUGACAGGACGUCUGAGCUUCAAAGGCACCAAUAAUCAAACUAGCUCACUCAAGCAGCCUAUCUGGGCAUAUCAAAACAAAACAAAACAAGAAGCGAGGACACAGUAAGCAAACAUAAAAUAUAUAAAUACAAUACCUUAUUUAUGGCUCAGAGACAACAUUCAAUAUUAAAUCACAUAAAGAGACAGACCACGAUGGCUUCAGCAAGUUCCGAAAUCAAAGAAUCAAGAAAUCUUCCAGAUGAAGAGAAUUUCCUGGAAUUACCAGAGGUAGAAUAAAAAAGAUUAAUAUACAGAACUCUUCAAGAGAUCAGGAAGAAGAGGCAAAGCAGAACAAGCCAAGGAAUGCAGAAAGCAUUAGAGAAACUUAAGCAGAUUAGACAAGAGCAUAAUGAUAAGUUUAAUAGGCUGCAAGAAUCCAUAGAGAGACAGCAAACAGAAAUUCAGAAGAUUAACAAUAAAAUUUCAAAAUUAGACAAUUCAAUAGAAAGUCAUAAGAGCAGAAUUGAGGCAAUGGAAGUCAGAAUUAGUGAGAUUGAAGAUAAAGCACUUGGCACCAAAAUAUUUGAGGAAAAAUCAGAUAAAAGAAUUUUAAGAAACGAGCAAACUCUAAGAAUUAUAAGGGAGACUAUCAAGAGGAAAACCCUACAAGUGAUUGGAGUACCAUAACAGGGCAUGAUAACAUAUGAAAUACAGAGAGAAUUGUUAAAGAUUUGCUGGCAGAAAACUUCUCUGAUAUUGUGAAAGAUAAGGAGAUAUCUAUCCAAGAUGCUCAUCGAACCCCAUACAAGGUAGAUCCCAAAAGAAAGUCACCAAGACAUAUUAUAAUCAAACUUGCCAAAACCAAAGAUGAACAGAGAAUUUUAAGAGCCGCUAGGAAUAAAUGAAAAGUUACCUACAAAGGACAGUCAAUAAGACUAAGCCUGGACUACCCAGCAGAAACCACGCAGUCAAGAAGACAAUGGGAUGACAUAUAUAAAGUCUGAGGGAAAAAAAAUUGCCAGCCAAGAAUUAUAUAUACAGCAAAACUAUCUCUCAAAUAUGAUGGCAAAAUUAGGACUUUUCCAAAUAAACAGAAGUUUAGGGAAUUUGCAAAAACCAAACCAAAAUUACAAGAAAUAUUAAAGGGAAUCCUCUGGUUAGAAAGUCAAUAACAUCAGAUAACAAUCCAAAACUGGAACACAGGACAGAGCAACCAGGUAUCAACUCAGAUAGGGAAAUCACAAAAAUAAAUGCUCAAAACAGGGAAACAGCGGUGUCUUUAUGUAAAAGACGACAACAUUAAAAUAAAAAAGAGGGACUAAAAAAAUGUAGCCAUAGAUCUUUCAUAUGGAGGGGAAGUUAAGGUGAUAUAAAGAAACAAAAUAUUGGUUUAAACUUAGAAAAAUAAGGGUAAAUAUUAAGGUUGCCACAAAGGAAACUAACAGUCCUACACAUCAAAAUAAAAAACAUAAACGCUCAGCAAAUACAAAAUCAACAACAAUGAAAAAAGAAGAAAAGAAUAUAUAUAAAGAAAAAUGACUCAGCUCAGAAAAUUAAGUGGAACAAAGAAACUGUCAACAACACACAAAAAAAGACAUCAAAAUGGGACAGCACUAAACUCAUACCUAUCAAUAAUUAUGCUGAAUGUAAAUGGACUAAACGCACCAAUAAAGAGAAAGAGAAUGGCAGAAUGGAUUAAAAAAAAAUGAUUUGUCUAUAUGCUGCCUACAAGAGACACACCUUAGACUUAAAGACAAAAACAAAUUAAACCUCAAAGAAUGGAAAAAAAUAUAUCAAGCAAACAACAAUCAAAAAAGAGCAGGCAUGGCAAUAUUAAUUUCUGACAAACUAGGCUUUAAAGUUAAAUCUACCACAAAGGAUAAGGAAGGACACUAUAUAAUGAUUAAAGGGUCAAUCCACCAGGAGAACAUAACCAUAGUAAAUAAUUACAUACCCCACAAUGGGGCUCCAAAAUACAUAAAACAAACUCUAACAACAUUGAAAAAUGAGAUAGGCAGCUCCAGAAUAAUAGUAGGGGACCAGCACACCACUUUCGGUGAACAUCCAGAAAGAAGCUCAAUAAAGACACGGAAGAUCUAAAUGCCACAAUCAAUCAACUUGACCUCAUAGACAUACACAGAACAUUCCACCCAACAGCAGCCAAGUAUAUUUCCUUUUCCAACACACAUGGAACAUUCUUCAGAAUAGGAAACGUAUUAGGACAUAAAGCAAGUCUUAACAGAACCCAAGACAUGAAAAUAUUACAAAGCAUUUUUUCUGAACCUAAAGCUAUAAAAGUAGAAAUCAAUAACAGAAAAAGCAAGGGAAAAAAAAUCAAACACAUGGAAACUGAACAAUACCUUGCUCAAAAACUAUUGGGUUACAGAAGAAAUUAAGGACAGAAUAAGAAAAUUCUUAGAGUCAAAUGAGAAUGAAAAUACAUCCUACCAGAACCUGUGGGACACAGCAAAAGCAGUGCUCAGAGGUCAAUUUAUAGCAAUACAUACAUCCAAAGGGUAGAAGGGGCCAAAAUCAAAGCAUUAACCCUACAACUAGAGCAAACAGAAAGACAACAGCAAAAGAAACCUCGGUCACCAGAAGAAAGCAAAUAAUAAAAAUUACAGCAGAAUUAAAUGAAAUAGAGAAUAGAAAAACAAUCUUUUCUUUGAAAAGAUCAAAAAAAUUGCUAAACCAUUGGCCAAAAUGACAAAAGAAAAACAGGAAAGGAAGCAAAUAACCUGAAUAAGAAAUGAGAUGGGCGAUAUCACAACAGACCCCCAACUGAAAUUAAAAGAAUCAUAACAGAAUACUAUGAAAAAUUGCACUCUAACAAAUUUGAAAACUUAGAGGAAAUGGACAAAUUGCUAGAAACACACUACCUACCUAAACUAACACAAACAAAGGUGGAACAACUAAAUAAACCUAUAGCAAAAGAAGAGAUUGAAAAGGUAAUUAAAAAACUUCCAACAACAAUUUUAAAAAGCCCUGGCCUUGAUGGCUUCACUGGAGAAUUCUACUAAACUUUCAGAGAAGAGAGAACACUACAACUACUAAAGGUAUUUCAGAGCAUAGAAAAGGAUGGAAUACUCCCAAAAUCAUUCUAUGACGCCAGGACAACUCUGAUACCAAAACCAAGUAAAGAUACCACAGACCAAUAUCCCUCAUGAACUUAGAUGCAAAAAUCCUCAACAAAAUUCUAGGCAAUAGAAUUCAACAACAUAUCCAAAAAAUAAUUCACCACGACCAAGUGGGGUUCAUACCAGGUAUGCAGGGAUGGUUCAACACUAGAAAAACAACCAAUGUAAUCCAUCACAUAAAUAAAACAAAAGGCAAGAACCACAUGAUCUUAUCGAGUGAUGCAGAAAAGGUAUUUGACAAAAUCCAACACCCAUUCAUGAUAAAAACUCUCAGCAAAAUAGGACUAGAAGGGAAAAUCCUCAACAUAGUCAAAGACAGUUAUACAAAGCCAACAGCCAACAUCAGCCUAAAUGGAGAGAGUCUGAAAGUAUUCUUCUUGAGAAUGGGAACCAGAAAAGGAAGGCCUUUAUCACAGUCUUAUUCAGCAUUGUGCUGGAGGUCCUAGCCAGAGCAAUUAGGCUAGAAAAAGAAAUACAGGGCAUCCAAAUUGGUAAAGAAGUAAAAGUAUCCCUAUUUGCAGAUGACAUGAUCUUAUACACAGAAAACCCUGAAGAAUCCACAAGAAAACUACUGGAACUAAUAGAAGAGUUCAGCAAAGUAUCAGGAUACAAGGUAAACAUACAAAAAUCAGUUGGAUUCCUCUACACCAACAAAGAGAACGUCGAAGAAAUCACCAAAUCAAUACCAUUUACAAUAGACCCCAAGAAGAUUAAAUAGUUAGGAAUAAAUCUAACCAGAGAUGUAAAAGACCUAUAAAAAAAAAGAAAGAAAGAAAGAAAGAAAAUUACAAGACACUACUGCAAGAAACCAAAAGAGACCUACAUAAGUGGGAAAACAUACCUUGCUCGUGGAGAGGAAGACUCAACAUUGUGAAAAUGUCUAUUUACCCAAAGCAAUCUACAGAUACAAUGCAAUCCUGAUCCAAAUUCCAAUGGCAUUUUUUAAUGAGAUAGAGAAGCAAAUCACCAACUUCAUAUGGAAAGGUGUAUCCCUGGAUAAGUAAAGCAUCACUGGAGAAGAAGAACGAAGUGGGAGGCCUCACACUACCUGAUUUUAAAACCUAUUAUAACACUACAGUGGUCAAACCAGCCUGGUACUGCUACAACAGCAGAUACAUAGACCAAUGGACAGAAUUGAGAGUCCAGACAUGAAUUCAUCCACCUAUGAGCAGCUGAUAUUUGACAAGGGCUGCUGGGGAAAAGACAGUCUCUUUAACAAAUGGUGCUGGCGUAACUGGAUAUCCAUCUGCAAAAAAAUGAAACAAGACCCAUACCUCACAUCAUGCACAAAAACUAACUCAAAAUGGAUCAAAGACCUAAAUAUAAAAUCUAAAACAAUAAAGAUCAUGGAAGAAAAAAAAGGGACAACAACAGGAGCCCUAAUACACAGCAUAAACAGUAUAUAAAACAUUACUAACAGUGCACAAACACCAGAAGAGGAACUAGAUAACUGGGAGCUCCUAAAAAUAAAACACUUAUGCUCCUCCAAAGACUUCACCAAAAGAGUAAAAAGACAACAUACAGGCUGGGAAAAAUUUUUGGCUACGACAAAUUCGAUCAGCACCUAAUCUCUGAAAUCUACAAGAUUGGGUAAAGGAGAUAAAAAGAUACUUCUCCAAAGAAGACAUUCAGGCGGUUAACAGGUACAUGAGGAAAUGUUCACAAUCAUUAGGCUUUAGAGAAAUGCAAAUCAAAACUACGAUGAGAUACCAUCUCACCCCAACAAGGCUGGCAUUAAUCUAAAAAAUACAAAAUAGUAAAUGUUGGAGAAGAUGUGGAGAGACUGGAACACUUAUACGCUGCUGGUGGGAAUGUCAAACGGUACAACCACUUAGGAAAUUGAUUUGGUGCUUCCUUCAAAAGCUAGAAAUAGAACUGUCGUACAAUCCAGCAGUCCCACUCGUUGGACUAUAUCCUAGAGAAAUAAAAGCCUUCACACCAAUAGAUACAUGCACACCCAUGUUCACUGCAGCACUGCUUACAAUAGCAAAGAGAUAGAAACAACCAAGGUGCCCAUCAACAGAAGAAUGGAUAAAUAAAUUAUGGUAUAUUCACAUGACGACAUACUAGGCAACGAUAAAGAACAAUGAUGAAUCCAGGAAACAUCUCAUAACAUGGAGGAAUCUAGAAGGCAUUAUGCUGAGUGAAAUCAGUCAGUUGCAAAAGAACAAAUAUUGCAUGAGACCACUAUUAUAAGAACUCAAGAAAAGGUUUAAACAUGAGGGUGGGGAGGGAGGGUGAGGGGUAUGCAGUAAUUAGAUAGCAAACAAGAAUUAUUUUAGAUAAAAGGAAGAGGAAGCCAGCACAACUAGACUAAUCUAAAAGCUAAGAAGUUUCCUGAACACAACCAAACACUUCGAGGGACAUAGUAGCACAGGUGGGGGUCUGGGGAAUAUAGUUUCAGGGGACAUCUAGAUCAACUGGCAUAAUAAAGUGUAUUAAGAAAACGUUCCGCAUCCCACUUUGGUGAGUGCCAUCUGGGGUCUUAAAAGUUAGCAAGCAGCCAUCUAAGAUGCAUCAGUUGAUCUCAACCCACCCGGAGCAAAGGAGAAUGAAGCACACCAAAGACACAAGGGAUAUAUGAGCCCAAAAGAAAGAAAGGACCACAUAAACCAGAGACUCCAUCAGCCUGAGACCGGAAGGCCUAGAUGGUACCCAAUUACCACUAAUGACUUCCCUGACAAGGUACACAACAGAAAAUCCCCGAUGGAGCAGGAGAACAGUGGGAUGCAGACCUCAAAUUCUAGUAAAAAGACCAGACUUCAUGGUCUGACUGAGACUGGAGGGUUCCCGGAGGUCAUGGCCUCCAGACUCUCUGUUAGCCCAAAACUAAAACCAUUCCUGGAGCCAACACUUCAAACAAAGAUUAGACUGGACUAUAAGACAUAAAAUGAUACAGGUGAGGAGUGUGCUCCUUAGCUCAAGUAGACACAUGAGAGUAUGUGGGCAACUCCUGUCUGGAGGUGAGAUGAGAAGGCAGAGGGGGACAGGUGCUGGUUGGAUGGACAGGAGAAAUAGAGGGUGGAGAGAAGGAGUGUGCUGUCACAUUGUAGGGAGAGCAACUGGGGUCACAUAACAAUGUGUGUAUAAGUUUUUGUAUGAGAAACUGACUUGAACGGUAAACUUUCACUUAAAGCACGAUAAAAAAAAAAAAAAGAA